CGCUAGCUACAGGCUUAACACAUGCAAGUCGAGGGGUAGCAGGGUAGCAAUACCGCUGACGACCGGCGCACGGGUGAGUAACACGUAUCCAACCUUCCCAUAACUCAGGGAUAGCCUUUCGAAAGAAAGAUUAAUACCUGAUAGUACUUUUUCAAGGCAUCUUGAGAAAGUUAAAGAUUUAUUGGUUAUGGAUGGGGAUGCGUUCCAUUAGAUAGUUGGUGAGGUAACGGCUCACCAAGUCUUCGAUGGAUAGGGGUUCUGAGAGGAAGGUCCCCCACAUUGGUACUGAGACACGGACCAAACUCCUACGGGAGGCAGCAGUGAGGAAUAUUGGUCAAUGGGCGAGAGCCUGAACCAGCCAAGUAGCGUGAAGGAUGAAGGUCCUAUGGAUUGUAAACUUCUUUUAUAGUAGAAUAAAGUGAUCCACGUGUGGAUUUUUGUAUGUAUACUAUGAAUAAGGAUCGGCUAACUCCGUGCCAGCAGCGGC
RNAcentral lists this ribosomal RNA (487 nucleotides) under uncultured bacterium. RNAcentral describes it as "bacterial SSU rRNA". It matches the Rfam family "Bacterial small subunit ribosomal RNA", at positions 34 to 518 of the family's 1533-position model. The record is from RNAcentral.